Molecule: non-coding RNA, 25 nt
Filed under: Mus musculus (house mouse)
Lineage: Eukaryota; Metazoa; Chordata; Mammalia; Rodentia; Muridae
Source: RNAcentral
UGAGAUGAACUGAUGCAAAACCUGA